RNAcentral lists this ribosomal RNA (460 nucleotides) under uncultured bacterium. RNAcentral describes it as "partial 16S ribosomal RNA". It matches the Rfam family "Bacterial small subunit ribosomal RNA", at positions 338 to 795 of the family's 1533-position model. The record is from RNAcentral.
CCUACGGGUGGCAGCAGUGAGGAAUAUUGGUCAAUGGACGAGAGUCUGAACCAGCCAAGUAGCGUGAAGGAUGACUGCCCUAUGGGUUGUAAACUUCUUUUAUAUGGGAAUAAAACGUUCCACGUGUGGGAUUUUGUAUGUACCAUAUGAAUAAGGAUCGGCUAACUCCGUGCCAGCAGCCGCGGUAAUACGGAGGAUCCGAGCGUUAUCCGGAUUUAUUGGGUUUAAAGGGAGCGUAGGUGGAUUGUUAAGUCAGUUGUGAAAGUUUGCGGCUCAACCGUAAAAUUGCAGUUGACACUGGCAGUCUUGAGUACAGUAGAGGUGGGCGGAAUGCGGGGUGUAGCGGUGAAAUGCUGAGAUAUCACGAAGAACUCCGAUUGCGAAGGCAGUUCACUGGACUGCAACUGACACUGAGGCUCGAAAGUGUGGGUAUCAAACAGGAUUAGAUACCCGAGUAGUC